This 76-nucleotide transfer RNA is filed under the name Verrucomicrobia bacterium RIFCSPLOWO2_12_FULL_64_8. Its description in RNAcentral is "tRNA-Trp". It matches the Rfam family "tRNA". From Rfam's summary of the family: Transfer RNA (tRNA) molecules are approximately 80 nucleotides in length. Their secondary structure includes four short double-helical elements and three loops (D, anti-codon, and T loops). Further hydrogen bonds mediate the characteristic L-shaped molecular structure. tRNAs have two regions of fundamental functional importance: the anti-codon, which is responsible for specific mRNA codon recognition, and the 3' end, to which the tRNAs corresponding amino acid is attached (by aminoacyl-tRNA synthetases). tRNAs cope with the degeneracy of the genetic code in two manners: having more than one tRNA (with a specific anti-codon) for a particular amino acid; and 'wobble' base-pairing, i.e. permitting non-standard base-pairing at the 3rd anti-codon position. The record is from RNAcentral. RNAcentral also lists the same sequence under 2 other names. Lineage: Bacteria; Pseudomonadati; Verrucomicrobiota.
AGGGCAGUAGCUCAAUUGGUAGAGCAACGGUCUCCAAAACCGUCGGUUAGGGGUUCGAGUCCCUUCUGCCCUGCCA